CAGUAAAUAGUUUAUUUAAAAUUUUUGUUUUGGGGACUUAGGAUAUAUUUUAUGUUUUACUGA
Molecule: transfer RNA, 63 nt
Filed under: Balala fujiana
Lineage: Eukaryota; Metazoa; Arthropoda; Insecta; Hemiptera; Cicadellidae
Description: tRNA-Pro
Source: RNAcentral